CCUACGGGUGGCAGCAGUGGGGAAUAUUGGACAAUGGGCGAAAGCCUGAUCCAGCCAUGCCGCGUGUGUGAAGAAGGCCUUCGGGUUGUAAAGCACUUUCAGUGGGGAAGAAAGCCUUGGGGCUAAUACCCUCGAGGAAGGACAUCACCCACAGAAGAAGCACCGGCUAACUCCGUGCCAGCAGCCGCGGUAAUACGGAGGGUGCGAGCGUUAAUCGGAAUUACUGGGCGUAAAGCGCGCGUAGGCGGUCUGAUAAGCCGGGUGUGAAAGCCCCGGGCUCAACCUGGGAACGGCAUCCGGAACUGUCAGGCUAGAGUGCAGGAGAGGAAGGUAGAAUUCCCGGUGUAGCGGUGAAAUGCGUAGAGAUCGGGAGGAAUACCAGUGGCGAAGGCGGCCUUCUGGACUGACACUGACGCUGAGGUGCGAAAGCGUGGGUAGCAAACAGGAUUAGAUACCCCAGUCGUC
RNAcentral lists this ribosomal RNA (465 nucleotides) under Vreelandella stevensii. RNAcentral describes it as "partial 16S ribosomal RNA". It matches the Rfam family "Bacterial small subunit ribosomal RNA", at positions 338 to 795 of the family's 1533-position model. The record is from RNAcentral. Lineage: Bacteria; Pseudomonadati; Pseudomonadota; Gammaproteobacteria; Oceanospirillales; Halomonadaceae.